Acinonyx jubatus (cheetah) is the source of this 3326-nucleotide long non-coding RNA. RefSeq lists it as uncharacterized. The record is from RefSeq and is a predicted model, not a curated record. The transcript is spliced from 3 exons. NCBI's taxonomy places the organism in Eukaryota, Metazoa, Chordata, Mammalia, Carnivora, Felidae.
UCCAUCUGUGACAAAGAGGCCAUUGGUGGUGGUGGAGGAGGUCUUCUGGCUAAUCUACAGGAUUAUAUGGCAUUUGUAAAGGGAAAACCUUUAUUAGUUAAAUAGCACUUUUCAUGACAAAAUCUCAAAAUAAAAACUAAUUUGGGGGGGUUGGUCAUUGUGUGUGUGUGUGUGUGUGUGUGUGUGUGUGUGUUGUGUUUUACUUUUAUUUUUGCCAUGAAAUAACUCAUUGUUUGAAUUUAUCCUUGCUGGCUCCAGAGGAAAGAUGAGAUUUGAAUUUUGAUCCCACCAGUGAGCUGGAGGCACAACGGAAUGGCAGCCUAGAACAAGCAGUAUAAGAAAAGCACCAUUUAUGGGCAGGUGUUGGCUGGGCUCCAUGAAGGCGUUUCAGGGCUACACAUGGAAGGCACUCCUGGUGUAUCUACGAGAAUGCAGGAGAUCCCUACCAAGCAGGUAGUCAAAUUCCAAGCCUCACGCCCCACCUGCCCCUUGUGUUCCUCACUGCUUUCGAAUAACUACAGCUGUGUUAUAACUGCAGAGCCUCCCAGUGUGGACAGAGACACUUUCUUCACCCUCUGCUUUGGGGCUUAGACAUAUGACCGUGUGACUUGCUUUUGCCAAUGGGAUGGCCGCAAACAUCAAACAUACACAGAGGCUUAAACACACUUUUGGGAUUUGGUUUUUGCAUGCCUGAGGUCCACCAGGAGUAGAACAGGAAGGAAACCUGUGGAGUCAACAUGAACACGACUCAAAACACGAAGCCAAGCCCAGCUGCUCCUAGUCAAGUCCUGCGGACCCACAGCCAACCCAUGAGCAAGGAAAUGAGUGGUAUUUGUUGUAAGCCACUGAAGAAAUGCCAUUAGUGAUAUAAGUCACUUCGAGCUUUGAGGUUGAUUAAUCAAAAGUUAAUUGAUACUCAACAUUUAUACUAUGUACCCUCCAUGUAAAUUCAUAAAAAAAAAAAUAAACUAAUUUAGAAUAAGAGUGAUAACAAAGAACUGAGUGGGAAAUUUAGAAUUUUGUACACUGGAAUUGCCCAGACUCUGCUGAAGUCAUCAUAUCUCUACCUGCUUAUUCCAUGAUGACAACCCCAAAAUCUACUUUACUAUUCCCAGAAGAGCACAAAUGACUUAGCGUAAGCUGUCUGUUGGAUCCCUGUCAUCUAAAAGCCAGGACUUAUACACAAGACAGUAUCUUUUGCUUGAAUCAGUUGUCUCCUUUUCAGAAAGCUGCUCUAAACUUCUGACCCUUUGUCAAUGCUUAACCUUGAAGGCUUUCUCAAUUCUUUCACUGGUGUGUGCCUCAGUUUCCCUGUUCCGAGAGUAUCGCUAUCAGCUUCCAUCCUGUGUUCCCUUAUUCUACUGUUAAAGGAGAGUUGAUGUGGUUAGUUUUGAGCAGCAUGAGAUCACGAGUUGAAGAGGUCAGGGAAAGAUUCAUGGGCACAAAUCAUAAAGGGAUUGAGUGGGUUUUGAAGAAAAGAUAAGCUUUGGAUGCAUAAAGGAGAAUACACAGGGGUCUCCUUUCUAGCUUGUGAAAUAGAAAAUCACUUUUAAGACCCCCAAAGGGAAAUCAAUGGCUUCCUCCCCCAUGGAGAAACUUUCCUGUCUUAACGGGAACAACAUAAAUAACACUUCUAUUAUAAGAAAGGAUCGGACUCUUAUUAAGACCCAUAAAUCAACAGUUAUUUUAUUUUCACAAAGCAACCCCCAAAUGUAAUUUUAAAGUGAAAGCAUAUUUUAAAGGGCAUGUGGGUAUAUAUAAUUUAUAUUUCUCUAUAUAAAUAUGGUACUGAGAUAUCUACUUACAUUUGAAUAAUUAUUAGGACAAUACCCUGUUUUGCCAUGUAAAUGGCAAAGAGAGAAAGUGUCUGCUUCUAGAGAAGGGGGAUUUAAAGACUCAGCCUUACAAGUGUCUACUACGUUAUGAUAUUUCCUUUUGAUUAUCCGUAAUUUUUUGGCGUGUGUACUAUAGGUAUUCACACUUUCCAAGAGUUAACUCUGUCUGUAGAAUACUCCUGGGAAAGGGAGCAUUUCUGCUUAUUUCUGCUUAAAAUUUUACUCAAGAUUUUAAUGCAUUAUCUUUACAAAAUAAAAACGCCCAUUCGUUUACCAUUUAAAACAGAUUAAGAAACAUAUUUAUUAACUAUAGCAACAAAAAGUCUUCAAUUAAAGUGUGUGAAAACAGCUGGACCAAUAAAGUGUGUGAAAAUGGGACCAACCCGACAUUUAACUAGGUAGCUUGGCUGCUUUUUCGUCCUUCUUUAUUUCAUAUUCUUGUUCGUCACUCACCUAGAAAUUUCUAAUUAUGAGGAAUGCCUUCAUUUAAGAAUACUUAAAAAUUCACCUCAAAAUGAUUACACUGUUGUCUUUAUAUGUUCAAAUAACCUAGGAGCUAUACUUGAUUUUUUUCCCAUUCUCUGCAUCAUUCCAGAAAGUUACCAGAAUGACGAUAUCUUCUCAGAUGAAAAUACCACAUCUGUUCAGGGAAGGAAAAGCAGAAACACUGCUAAGCUAGUUAUUGGACAUAACAGAGACAAAAAUAAAUAUAAAAACUAUUCGAUUAAAGAAUUUAUUUGUUGUCUAUUGAUGUUCACAUGGUUUAGGAGAACCCAAGUGCCUAUGUUAAAUAUAUCUUCAAAAGACAAAAUCCUAGACCGCUUUAAACACAAAUGGAUGCAGCAUAAGUAUACGUCUCAUAACUGUGGAGUCAAAUACUUAAUUACCAGUCUAAUUGCUGUCGACUAACAUAAUGGCAGUAGGGAUCACACAGUGCUGAAGGAUUUAGAACAUAUUUUACUUUACUAAUACUGUGGGGUGUCAUAAAACAACAUCCCUAUAAAUCAAUUUCUUUAGAAAGAAAGGCUACAUUUUACGUGGGCAUUUUUAAGUCUCUGAACGCAAACUGUUAGGGAAAAGUGCAUCCAUUUAUAUCUAUCCUUACACAUAUCCCCGCAGAAAAUGUGCCGUGUCUCCAGAAUCAAUCCCAGCAAAUAGAGUUUAUAUUCAUAUUCUGCCUGUCUGAUCUUGUGUGGCAGAGUAAAUAGAAGGGGAAAGCUGAGGCUCCAAAGCUAAUUAGUUUCUAGAAAAUUGCCUAUUCUCUCUUUCUCUGAGCCUCCUUAAAGGAGUGAAUCUCCCAGGGAUCCUGCGAGCAAUUAUGACAUUAAGAGUAUUCUGCUUGUCAGGACCACCUGGGUGACUCAAUCAGUUAAGCGUCCGACUUCGGCUCAGGUCAUGAUCUCACGGUUUGUUGGUUCGAGCCCCACGUCUGGCUCUGUGCUGACAGUCCGGGGCCUGGAGCCUGCUUCGGAUUCUGUGUCUCCCUCUCUC